GGAUGCAAUCAUACCAGCACUAAAGCACUGGAUCCCAUCAGAACUCCGAAGUUAAGCUCCUGGGAACUCCUCGUGUUGCAUUCC
This 84-nucleotide ribosomal RNA is filed under the name Triticum aestivum (bread wheat). The record is from RNAcentral. Lineage: Eukaryota; Viridiplantae; Streptophyta; Magnoliopsida; Poales; Poaceae.